This 529-nucleotide ribosomal RNA is filed under the name Xanthomonas citri pv. citri. RNAcentral's name for it is "partial 23S ribosomal RNA". It matches the Rfam family "Bacterial large subunit ribosomal RNA", at positions 1062 to 1655 of the family's 2925-position model. Lineage: Bacteria; Pseudomonadati; Pseudomonadota; Gammaproteobacteria; Lysobacterales; Lysobacteraceae. The record is from RNAcentral.
AGUGGAAAACGAUGUGAAGAUACGCAGACAACCAGGAUGUUGGCUCAGAAGCAGCCACUCAUUCAAAGAGUGCGUAAUAGCUCACUGGUCGAGCGUCUUUGCGCGGAGAAUUUAACGGGGCUAAACCUGGCACCGAAGCUUAGGCAAUGUAGCAAUACAUUGGGUAGGGGAGCGUUGUAUACGCGGUGAAACAGUAGCGCAAGCGGCUGUGGAGUGUAUAGAAGUGAGAAUGCCGGAAUGAGUAGCGCGAAUGCAGUGAGAAUCUGCAUGGCCGAAAGCCUCAGGUUUUUGGAGGAAGGUUCGUCCGCUCCAAGUUAGUCGGGAGCUAAGGUGAGGCCGAAAGGCGUAGCCGAUGCACAGACGGUAGAGAUUCCGUCCCCACCGAAAGAUUUAAGCGCAGGGACACUUUUAGAAGGUCGGAGCCAGGUGUUGGUUCUGGUAGAGAUCGAGGGAAAUUUAGUACCGAAGUCCGGCUGGAUAAGAGGCGAGAAAAGCUGCGUGUAUAUCUAAGGUGCCCGUACCGCAAACC